GACGAACGCUGGCGGCGUGCUUAACACAUGCAAGUCGAACGGAAAGGCCCUGCUUUUGUGGGGUGCUCGAGUGGCGAACGGGUGAGUAACACGUGAGUAACCUGCCCUUGACUUUGGGAUAACUACAGGAAACUGGGGCUAAUACCGGAUAGGAGCGCCUGCUGCAUGGUGGGGGUUGGAAAGUUUCGGCGGUUGGGGAUGGACUCGCGGCUUAUCAGCUUGUUGGUGGGGUAGUGGCUUACCAAGGCUUUGCCGGGUAGCCGGCCUGAGAGGGUGGCCGGCCACAAUGGGACUGAGAUACGGCCCAGACUCCUACGGGAGGCAGCAGGGGGGAAUAUUGCACAAUGGGCGGAAGCCUGAUGCAGCGACGCCGCGUGCGGGAUGACGGCCUUCGGGUUGUAAACCGCUUUCACCUGUGACGAAGCGUGAUUGACGGUAAUGGGUAAAGAAGCACCGGCUAACUACGUG
This 468-nucleotide ribosomal RNA is filed under the name uncultured bacterium. RNAcentral's name for it is "partial 16S ribosomal RNA". It matches the Rfam family "Bacterial small subunit ribosomal RNA", at positions 28 to 507 of the family's 1533-position model. The record is from RNAcentral.